AGCUUUGCGCAGUGGCAAUAUCGUAGCCAGUGAGGUUUAUCUGAGGCACACUUACUGCUGAUUAAAAAUGAAGUUCAUCUAUCAAGAGGAAAACCAAUGCUGAUUUCCUCUGUGAAAGUGC
Small nuclear RNA from Otolemur garnettii (small-eared galago), 121 nucleotides. Its record names the gene U4. It matches the Rfam family "U4 spliceosomal RNA". From Rfam's summary of the family: U4 small nuclear RNA (U4 snRNA) is a component of the major U2-dependent spliceosome. The structure of U4 snRNA from yeast and human has been reported. Lineage: Eukaryota; Metazoa; Chordata; Mammalia; Primates; Galagidae. The record is from Ensembl.